AGCAGAGCCUGGUGGGGAUAGGCACCGAUUCUGAUAGGCUGCCUGGGCUCAGAUUCCAGCUCCACUGCUUCCCAGAUACAGGGCUUUGAGCAAGUUAAUUUCAGGUUUCUCGUCUGCAAAAUGGGGAGAGUAAUACCUACCUGAGAGGAUGAAGGAAUCCAGAGGAUUUCCAUAAUUCCUGGGUUGCUCUCAAUGCGUGAGUCCUUAGGUGACAAGAGCUUUAUUAUCUGAUCGCUUAUCACCCUACUCCCUGUAACUUCUCACAGCUUUGAGGCUAGAAUUCACUGCAUAUACAACUAGAAGAUUCUGGAAAUAAGGGUAAGGGAUACAUAUGCUUUCAACCUGAUUUGACAAACACCACCUGGACUGGCCUCUUCAAAGCAAGCAGAAGGCAAAGAAGCAGGAAGCAACUGGUUAGAAAUAACAGACCCAUUCCCGGGGUGUCGGCCUGAUGAGUCUGGACCAUGGCCCAGUACAAUUCGCUGCAAGAAGUACGUUAUCAUGGUUGAGCAAUCAUCGUAUCUACGCAGCUCCAGAGCCCUUCCAUCCUCCCAAACUGAAGCUCUGUUCCCAUUAAACCAUAGCCUCCCAUUACCACUUCCCAGUCCCUGGUAACCAUCACUGUGCUUUCUGUCUCUGUGAGUUUGACUAUUCCAGGUACCUCAUGUAAAUGGAAUCAUAUAAUGUUUGUCAUUUACUGCUUGGCUUCUUUCCCUGAAGCACGUUUUCAGUGUUCAUCCAUAUUGCAGCAUGUGUCUGACUUUUACUUCAAGACUGAAUAAUAUUCCAUUGUAUAUAUGUACCACAUUUGUUUAUCCAUUCAUCUGUUGAUGCAUGUUGGGUUGUUUCUACAUCUGGGGCUAAUGAAAAUAACACUGUUAAAAACACUGAUCCAAAUAUCUGAGUCCCUCCUUUCGGUUCUUUUGGGUAAAUGCUCAAAGGUGGCAUUGGGUCAUAAAGUAGUUUCAUUUUCUGAGAAAACUCCAUAUGAUUUUGCACAACACCUGCACCAUUUUAUAUUCCCACCAGCAAUGCAUAAGGGUUCCAGUUUCUCCACAUCCUCACCAUACUUACGAUUCUCUCUUUUUUAUUCAAUUGUCACUGUAAUGAGUGUAAAAUGAUACUUCAUUAUGGCUUAGAUUUGCAUUUUCCUGAUGAUUAGUGAUGCGUGGGCCCUGUAUGUUUUUGUUUAUGAUGUGUCUCUCUGUAUCAGUUUGUCUUUUUUUUUUUUAAGAGCUCCUUCUACAAUGAUUUUGUUAUAAAUAUGUUCUUUUGGAAUAAACAAAUAUUGUCUUCAAGACUAUCAGCAAACUUGUUCUAAAGUAUCAAAAGAGUAUAAAAUAGAUAACUAAGGAGAACCUACUGUUUGGCACAGGGAACUCUACUCAAUGCUCUGUGAUAACCUAAACGGGAGGGAAAUCCCAAAAAGAGGGGCUAUAGGUAUAUGUGCAGCUGAUCCACUUUGUUGUACAGUAGACACUAACAUUGUAAAGCAAUUAUAUUCCAAUAAAAUUAAUUAAAAAAAAUAAAGUAUCAACAGAGGAAAAGAUAGAACCGAGAACCACUCAGAGGUAGAGAUAAAUAGCAAAGACACCUGCAUGGCAUACUGAGUGCCUUUCCCUAAAAAAGAGGAAGAGUUAACAGGAGGUUAACAGUGAAUAUGAUAUUUCUCAUUAGCCUAUUAAUUACAAUAAGUUUUGAUUUUUGCUAAUUUGCACUUGUUCUGUAAACUGAACUGCUCCUGUCCUCAGUACUAAGGAGUAGAAGACGCUCAGUCUCAGCAUGGUCCCAGCACAAACAAGAAAGAUCUUGACUCUUAACUCUCUGUUCUAGGACAAAACCGUUCACCACUCUUAGUGUAGUCCACUCACCAGGGGGUGCUUUUGACUUGGUGGGCAGGUAUAGCUCCCCUGUUUCUUUCCAGGAGGAUUUCAUGCACCUCAGUUAUUUUUUGACAGUUUCGAGGAGGCAAUUCAGCUAUAGGCACAUCAUUCCAUCCCUUUAUUUAUUUAUUUAAAUUUAAUUUUCAUUUUAUAUUGGGGUAUAGUUGGUUUACAGGGGCUUACCAGGUGGCUCAGUGGUAAAGAAUCUGCCUGCCAAGCAGGAGAUGCAGAUUCAAUUCCUGGGUUGGGAAGAUCCCCUGGAGGAGGGCAUAGCAACCCUCUUCAGGAUUCUUGCCUGGAGAAUCCCAUGGACAGAGGAGCCUGGCAGUUUAUAGUUCAUGGGGUCUCAAGGAGUCGGACAUAACUUAGUAACGAAGGGACGACGAUGAGUUGGCUUACGAAGCGUUAGUUUCAGGCUACAGCAAAGUGAUUCAGUUAUAAAUAAACAUAUAUCCACUCUUUUUCAUAUUCUUCUCCUAUGUGGUUACAACAGAAUAUUGAGUAGAGUUCCCUAUGCUAUAUGGUAAUUCCCAAAGAAAACAUAUACCACCCAUUUCCUGCCCUUUGCUCUUUCUCUUUAAGUACGAUCAUUAGGGUAGGCCUCUACCUGGUUCGGCAGCAGCAGCCACCUGCUUCAGCCAGCAGGAAAGACGAUGAGAUGGGCUGACCAGCUUCUGACAGGUAGACAAUUAACCCCCAAGCUCAGCUCCGAGAUGCACCUGUGUAUCACUGCAAAGCGAAGAAGCUCAAAUGUGUGUCUGGGCAACAUCGCACAGAGGAGACCGAACCACACAGCAAAUUUAUGACAAGGACAAACGCCUGCAUUUAGGCCGUGCUCGGGAAAACUGAGGAGUUGCAGUACGAUGGUGGAGCUGCAGAAAUCACGUAUUAGUGGAAGAGGGCAGAGUUGGUUAAAAAUAGUUUUAGAUGUCCAGGGAGCCAGAAUUCGGGUGGGAGCUUGACAGUUGCCACAUGUCAGCUCUUUAGAAGCUGCUUUCAAAGAUGUGUUGCAGAACAGAGAUUUCUUUCCUAUGGCAAGUUAGCUCGAGGAGAAAUUUCUGGACAGAACUGUGAUUUGUAUUAACCUGAAGACAACCCUUACUAACAAUAAGAUUCUGUUUUGUGGGAGCCUCAGCCAGAACUAGAAUCUGCCUG
Molecule: long non-coding RNA, 3038 nt
Organism: Bos taurus (domestic cattle)
Lineage: Eukaryota; Metazoa; Chordata; Mammalia; Artiodactyla; Bovidae
Source: Ensembl